This 600-nucleotide ribosomal RNA is filed under the name Triticum aestivum (bread wheat). RNAcentral describes it as "partial small subunit ribosomal RNA". Lineage: Eukaryota; Viridiplantae; Streptophyta; Magnoliopsida; Poales; Poaceae. The record is from RNAcentral.
AUGCUCCCGGCCUCGCACCCGCUGCUCUACGCGUGCGCCUUCCGCGACAGCGCCCUCGUCGCCGAGCUCGCCCACGACCCGGACGCCGGGGGCGCCGGCACCGGCGACCUGCCGGCGCUCGCCGCCGCGCUCGCUGCUUCGGCGCCUCCGCACCACCGCUACGUCACCCACUCCACGGCGGGGCGGGCGCACGCGCUUCUCCUCGCCCCGCCGCUCGCGCUCGCCGCGGUCUCGCUCGCGCCGCAGCUCCCGGCGUCCCACCUCCUGCUCUUCCUCCGCCGCCUGCGAUGCCUCCCCGAGUUCAGGAUGCGCGAAGAGAUGGCGCGUCUGGCGCUCCGCCUGCCGUUCCCCAACGAGGAGGCGCUCGCGCGCGAGGCUGCUGACGUCGCUGCCGCUGAGGCCGAGGCGGAGGAGGCGACGCGGAGGGAGGCUGAGCUCGCGCGGGGGACGCCCAAGCGGGAGCAUGGAGCUCGCGGUGGCGCCGGGCGGGCGUGGAGGCGCCAGCUCUGGCUGAUCGUCCUCGUGGAUCUCGUGCUCCUCGGUGUACUCUUCGCGGCCUGGCUCGCCGUGUGCAGGGGUUUCAGCUGCAUUGGCCGGUAA